GAUGAACGCUAGCGGCAGGCUUAAUACAUGCAAGUCGUGGGGCAGCAGGUUUGUAGCAAUACAGAUGCUGGCGACCGGCGAACGGGUGCGGAACACGUACAGAACCUUCCUUUGAGCGGGGAAUAGCCCAGAGAAAUUUGGAUUAAUACCCCACAGUAUAAUGAAGUGGCAUCACUUUAUUAUUAAAGAUUUAUCACUCGAAGAUGGCUGUGCGGCUGAUUAGGUAGUUGGCGGGGUAAAGGCCCACCAAGCCCGCGAUCAGUAACUGGUGUGAGAGCACGACCAGUCACACGGGCACUGAGACACGGGCCCGACUCCUACGGGAGGCAGCAGUAAGGAAUAUUGGUCAAUGGAGGCAACUCUGAACCAGCCAUGCCGCGUGGAGGAUGAAGGUCCUCUGGAUUGUAAACUUCUUUUAUAUGGGACGAAAAAGGCUUUUCUAAGUCGUCUGACGGUACCAUAUGAAUAAGCACCGGCUAACUCCGUGCCAGCAGCCGCGGUAA
Molecule: ribosomal RNA, 503 nt
Filed under: uncultured bacterium
Lineage: Bacteria
Description: bacterial SSU rRNA
Rfam family: Bacterial small subunit ribosomal RNA
Source: RNAcentral